CAGGAAACAGGACCUUUGCCU
RNAcentral lists this microRNA (21 nucleotides) under Bos taurus (domestic cattle). Its description in RNAcentral is "bta-miR-12047". The record is from miRBase by way of RNAcentral. Lineage: Eukaryota; Metazoa; Chordata; Mammalia; Artiodactyla; Bovidae.